CCUACGGGUGGCAGCAGUGGGGAAUAUUGGGCAAUGGGCGCAAGCCUGACCCAGCAACGCCGCGUGAAGGAAGAAGGCUUUCGGGUUGUAAACUUCUUUUAAGAGGGAAGAGUAGAAGACGGUACCUCUUGAAUAAGCCACGGCUAACUACGUGCCAGCAGCCGCGGUAAUACGUAGGUGGCAAGCGUUGUCCGGAAUUACUGGGCGUAAAGGGUGUGCAGGCGGCUGAGUAAGACAGAUGUGAAAUCCCCGGGCUUAACCUGGGAACCGCAUAUGUGACUGCUUGGCUAGAGUGCGUGAGAGGGAGGUGGAAUUCCACGUGUAGCAGUGAAAUGCUUAGAUAUGACGAAGAACCCCGAUUGCGAAGGCAGCUUGCUGCAGCGGAACUGACGCUGAUGCUCGAAAGCGCGGGUAUCGAACAGGAUUAGAUACCCUUGUAGUC
This 442-nucleotide ribosomal RNA is filed under the name uncultured bacterium. RNAcentral describes it as "partial 16S ribosomal RNA". It matches the Rfam family "Bacterial small subunit ribosomal RNA", at positions 338 to 795 of the family's 1533-position model. The record is from RNAcentral.